CAUGAGCUGAAAGAGAGCCAUUUAACGCGUACUGACAGACAAGGCGUGCCAGGCACUGGGACAGGUAGACUAGGUGACGGUGGCGUCCAGCUGACCUUGAGAGGCACAGAUGUGAAGUGCAGGGGACCAGUGGGAGGCGGACAAGAGGAUCUGGUUCCACCGCGAGUACAGAAGACAGUGUGCGGGACAGAGAGGAAGCGGGCCCACUGAAACGUGGAGAAAACGGCGGGCCAGUCUUAUUCAAGGAAGGGACCUUAAUACUGAGAAAGCCACAAAGAAGCCCACGAAGCCACAGCUGGAACAGAACCAUGGGCCCCAGAAGCUGGGGGCGGAGAGUGUUAAAGAGGAACCCCCCCUCCUGCACGUACUCAGGAAACUGGGGGCCAGGGAGGCGGGGCGUCGAUGAGCGAAGGUGUUUCUUUCACAAGGAGGGGGCGGUCUAGCACGCCGACACACGGCAGGUGCAGCGAGCGACAGCGAACGUGAGGAGCAGAGGAUCUGGGCCUGGGCGAACCCGCGCAGCAGCCACUGGCCCCACGUGGCCACUGACAUUUAAAUGCCACAGCAGAGACAGUUCACGCACUUGUAAGAUGGUUCACAUGGACUACAAGUCCUUUCAUCCUAGGUUCACAGCCUCCUACCAAUGGGAGUCCUACCAGAGUGUCCCAGGCCUUUCUCCGUCCUGACACCACCCCAGGGAGAGGCGGUGCAGCCUGCGGGGUGCCAGGAGUGGGCAAACACCCAGGGGUGCGGGGACUGGGUGCUUCCUGGAUUUCAUAUGAAAUGGACCCUGAAGAGGAAGAAGAGAAGCUUCCUAAUGAAGCGGGAAAACACGAGGCAAACAGUGGGGGCUCUUCACCUGACCUUAUGGCAACCCGCCACACUGGGCGCUCACUGGCAGGAAAUGCUAUCCAAACACCCCACACUCCAGCCACACCGAUUUAGCUGCAGAAUUCAAUAUUCAUUUCACAUUUAUUUUCACCUCUGUAAUCCUACUAAUCCUCCCUCCUCGCCUCUGUGGCAAACACUUAUUUCAAAAACGAACCCACUGUAUACCUUCCUAUACAUCUGCUACAUGUUGUUAACCUCGUAGGUGUUAAAUAGC
Molecule: long non-coding RNA, 1105 nt
Organism: Phyllostomus discolor (pale spear-nosed bat)
Lineage: Eukaryota; Metazoa; Chordata; Mammalia; Chiroptera; Phyllostomidae
Exons: 2
Source: RefSeq, a predicted model, not a curated record